UAGGCACGGUAGCGCUCAUGGUGGCAGAGGGCUACAACACACUGUCCUACAACAUACUGUCAAUAUAAACAAAGCAGUUCAAAAGUGUCAAUUCAGGUUUAUUGCAGGUUUAGUGCCGUUUCUCACAGUCACAGUAUGUCAGGUAGAGAUUUGAUGAAAGAUUCUCUGACCAGGCAUCGAGCCAGAACCAAAGCCGAUAAAAGAAAAAAUGAUGCUUUGUAACAGGAACCUAAACGUUCAGGUAACUUCUUGACCGUAAUUUUGGCAGAGGCAGAGGCCGAGUUACCCAGUCUGAUGAAGUUGUAGCAGUUUCUAAUCAAGAAACUGCUAGUGAAAUAACUCCCAGUCUAAUGAAAGAAGUGGUGUACAGGAUAUCAUUCAUUCAGUCGAACUGGAAAAGACAUCAUUGAAGCAAGCAUUUCACAAUUUAACAAGUAGAAAAAGGAAGCAAUCAAGAAAGCGAGUGGAAAACUCGCAUGAAAGACAAAGAAGAUGCUUGGGAUUCCAAGAGAGAUGCUGUCUUUCAAAACUACAUUAGCUCCCGUUCCUACAGUGCAAGUAAAUGUGGUGUAUGUGAAAAAGUCACUAAUCCUGUACAUCACUGUUGAAGUGUCCCUUCCUGUCCAGAAUGCAAAAGCCCUCAUUCGUGUACUACGAAACCUGGUUCAAGAGACGUAACCGUAGUUACAGCCAAUGGUAAAUGAGGGCAACUUCACGGAGGACAACCGAUUACCAGGAUUACAUCGACGAAGACACAGCCAAUUAUCAAGACUACGCUGAUGAAGAAAAUGAAGAAAAAAACUGUUAUCCAUCGUUUAAAACGCUCACAUAUAUUGUCAUGCAAAUCUUGUAAUCGCAUUUGAAAUACAGCUAUUGUUUGAAGGGAAUAAAAGUAUAAUAAUGAGCUUUUUGAUUUGUUUCAUGAACAUUAUUCGUCACCUUAUAGGCAUAUCCGAGUGUGCGUGAAAAUAAAAUUGUUUGCAGU
This is a long non-coding RNA of Daphnia pulex (common water flea), 985 nucleotides long. RefSeq lists it as uncharacterized. The transcript is spliced from 3 exons. Lineage: Eukaryota; Metazoa; Arthropoda; Branchiopoda; Diplostraca; Daphniidae. The record is from RefSeq and is a predicted model, not a curated record.